Molecule: long non-coding RNA, 3274 nt
Organism: Equus caballus (horse)
Lineage: Eukaryota; Metazoa; Chordata; Mammalia; Perissodactyla; Equidae
Source: RefSeq, a predicted model, not a curated record
GCCCCCGGGGGUCCCGGGCCCCCCUUCCUUUGUUCUUCCCGCUAUUUGCAUGAGGAUUAUCUAAUGACGCAGCAAGGCUCGCCACAACGUGACCGUCGCCAUUUUUCUGUUUUUAUUCUAUCUCUGCCAUGUGAUAGAUGGGGGGGAGGGGGGGAGGUUGGAAAAGGGAGAGAGACAGGAUUAAAAAAAAAAAAAAAACUUCCGGGUCUCAUGACCGGGAAGGGAGAAAAACAAAAGGGAGACGAGACACAACUCCAGGGGAAGGGUGUGUGUGCGUGUGUGCGUGUGUGCGCGCCCUCCCCGCCUCUGCUCCGGCGGCCGGCCAGGAGCAUCCUCCCACCUGGGGACCCGGAUCGCACCGCUCGCCGUGGCGGUCGCCUGUGCCGGCCCCACGCCCGCCGCCAACGCUCUGCGAAGCUGUCAGCUCGGUCCCUCCUCGUCGCCUCCACUUGCCGGUCCACCCCAGAGCUCGCGCUCGCGUUCCGGGACGGGCAGGCCGUUCUGGGUCCCGUGUUCACGGUGGCUGAAGAGACAGUGUGUUUGGGAGCUCUGCCACGUUUUUCGACUCCGAAAGGUUGGUGAAGUGUCAGCUGUGAUUUCACCCCGCUCAACCUGGAAUCUCAUUAUCCGAGGCAGCGUUCUUAAUGAGACUGGUUUGUCCUGGAGCCUAUGAACUGGGUGAGGAGGCUGGCAGUCGAGCAGGCUGAAGAGGCUGCUGAAAAGAUGUCAGCAUCUGGACAAGAAGUGCACAUUUGCAACUUUAAAAGGCUGGAGAGUAACUGAUGCAUGCAAUUAUAUUUAUGGCUCGGAGGAGGGUCUGGGUUGUCACAGAUGAGCUCAUACACAUCCGGAAUGUUGAACUUCCCUUGCAUAGCUCAACACAAAAUGCCCAUGUUCCUUUGGAUUGGGCAGUCGAAGCUGGGAUUACUGACAGUAACAUCUACAGCCCAUGUUUUGUCCUAGGCAAUAACAGUGUGGUAGUAAUUUUAAGUGUAACCAUAUCACCUUCCAGCAAGGUGGAGACGAAGUCUACUUAUAUGUAAAGUCAUGUGCUCCCUUAAGUAAAAAGCUGAGCAGAGAAAAAAGGAACAGCACUCAAACCACCCCCCCGCCCCCAAGGAAUUGCCUCCAUAGCUCUUGUCUUCUACACAUGUGCACUCAGACGUCAUUACAGAGAAGAUCAAACUUGAGUGGUCUGGGGUGCUCCAUCGCUGUUGAUUAAAGAGAGUUCUUCUGGGCACUCCAGCAAUCUUCCAUCUCUCCCGUACACAUUUGAAAAAUGGCAGUUCCUGGUGUGUGAGAGCAUAGCCUUUGGAAUUAGGUCCUAAUCUCAGCUCUGCCAGACUAUUAGCUGUAUCAUCCUGGACAGGUUACUCAUCAGCUCUGAUUCUCAGUUACUUUACUCAUAAAAGGAGCAUAAGAACACCUAGCUCAAAGAGGAGUUUUUAGGAUUGAAAUUUAAUCAAAAUUUAAUAAAAUAUAUGUAAAGCCCCUAGCACGAUACUGGGAGCUUAAUCUUCAAAAACAAGCAGCUGUAACAAUUUUUUAAUUGUAUUUUUGUUUACCCCAUACACUUCAUAGAAUUAUUCUUUUCCUUUUGGCUUCCUGCUCUUGAAAAUUCAACGAACCUACUAUUAGUGAAAGUUCUGUGAUUACGAAGAUAAGCGAGAAUAGGUCCUGCCCUCAGGAAGUUCACCCUUCAGCCUUGGAGAAAUACCUAUAGAAGCAACUGUGCUGAUGCUGGCGGGCUGAAGGCAAGCGCCUGGGCCCUCACACUUUGUGAUGACCUGCCCUAGAAGUAUUUAACUAAGAUGUAGAUUUAUUAAUACUCAGGCAAUGGCAAAGCUUAUGGAAGCAGUUAGGAAAAUGGCCUCCCCUGAGCAAGCAAACAAAAUCUCACAUUUUCACAAAAAUGAGGAUUACUUUUAAAACUCCAUCUAAUUAGUAUAAUUCUGCAGUUUUCGAAAAUUUUCUGGUCCAGUAUAACAGGCAGCCUCUUUUUUUGCAUUUGUGUGAAAAAUAUGCCAGGUUGUACCUUUGAGGUAAUGUUGGAGAAAUGUAGUUAAUAGGAAGCACUUCUGGUUGUUAAUUAAUUAGACCACUUUAAUCAAGAACUAUUUUCUGGGAAACUUAUUCCCAGCCCUGGGUCAGGUGCUAAGGAAACAAAGAUGAUGCAGAUACAGACUUUGCCCUUCAGGAACUCAUUCCACAAAUGUUUGUUGAUCACCUACUGGGGAUGCAGUGGUAAGACGUUGAGCUUACCAGAGGGAGAUUACAUACAGAUCUUCCUCAACUUACCGUGGGGUCACAUCCUGAUAAACCCAUCGUAAGUGGAAAAUAUCAUAAGUCAAUAAUGCAUUUAGUACAUCUAAACUACCAAACGUCAUAGCUUAGCCUAGCUUACCUUAAACGUGCUCAGAACACUUACAUUAGCCUAUAGUUGGGCAAAAUCAUCUAACAGAAAGACUAUUUUAUAAUAAAGUGUUGACUAGCUCAUGCAAUUGAUUGAAUGCUAUACUGAGAGUGAAAAGGAGAAUGGCCAUGUGGGUACAGAAUGGUUGUAAGUGUGUCAGUUUUUAUCGUAUGAUCUCGGGGUUGCAGGGCACUGCAGGGGCUGCCCCUGCCCAGCAUCACAAGAGACGACCAUAUGGCACAUGGCUAGCCUGGGAAAAGAUCACAAUUCAAAAUUCGAAGUCCACUGUCUACUGAAUGCCUAUCACUUUCGCACCAUUGUAAGGUUGAAAAAUUGUAGGUGGACCCAUUGUAAUUUGGGGACUGUCUGUGAGCACAUACCUUUCCAGCUCAAGAAGUGUUUGAUUGACAGGGUUUGGGCAAGGCAAAAAUAUAUAUAUUGCCCCUCCCCCAGAAUGUUUUAUGUUCCUCAAAACAAAGAGCAACUCUUGAAAGAAUAUUCUGGACGCUACAGCCCAAGUGGACCUGGGACUCUCGCUGGCGUUAGGCGGAAUUGUGAGGAGCGAAGUUGUGUUCGAUUCCCCCAGAGCCGGGCCUAUUUGAAUAGCUUUCUGGCCUCUCAGUUCCUGUCUUUCUGAACCGUUUGGCUCUCCAAAGGACUGCCGCAAUGAGGAUUCGACAACACAAACCCAAUUAUAUGAUUUCUGUGCUUAAAAACUUUCCUGGCUCCCCAGGAUCUGCGAAGCAGGGCACACGAGACCCUUUGUGAUCUUGUGCCAUCCCGCCCUCCAGCCUCAUCCCCUGAGACCCACAUGGAGGGUUGUCAGAUCUAGUUAAUAAAGAUACAAGAUGCCCAGUGAAA